AACGAACGCUGGCGGCAGGCCUAACACAUGCAAGUCGAGCGCACCUUCGGGUGAGCGGCGGACGGGUUAGUAACGCGUGGGAACGUGCCCUUCUCUACGGAAUAGCCUCUGGAAACGGAGAGUAAUACCGUAUACGCCCUUUGGGGGAAAGAUUUAUCGGAGAAGGAUCGGCCCGCGUUAGAUUAGGUAGUUGGUGGGGUAACGGCCUACCAAGCCUACGAUCUAUAGCUGGUUUUAGAGGAUGAUCAGCAACACUGGGACUGAGACACGGCCCAGACUCCUACGGGAGGCAGCAGUGAGGAAUAUUGGUCAAUGGAGGCAACUCUGAACCAGCCAUGCCGCGUGAAGGAUGACGGCCCUAUGGGUUGUAAACUUCUUU
RNAcentral lists this ribosomal RNA (379 nucleotides) under uncultured bacterium. RNAcentral's name for it is "bacterial SSU rRNA". It matches the Rfam family "Bacterial small subunit ribosomal RNA", at positions 29 to 436 of the family's 1533-position model. The record is from RNAcentral.